AGGCUGAAGGAAGGGAAAAAAUGAAAAGAAAAAAAUAAAUAAAAAGAGGGCGGGGGGAAGGAAAAAAAAAAAAAAGAAAACGUAUUCCAUAGUUACAGAUUUAACCCAGCUCUUUUCUUUAAUUUUUCCAACCCUAUGAUGUUAUCAAUAAAUCUCUUUCAGUUUCCAUUCAUUAGAACUGCAGUUUCCAGAGGACAGAAAAGCAUCCCUAGAUCAGAGUAGCUGUAGCAUAUCUUUAGAGGGACAGGAGGGGAUAGCUUGCUUCCUGUCUUGUCCUGAGAAAGGUAACUUUGCUGAAGAGAGAGGCUAACUAGAAGGGAAUACUUCCUCCUGAUGGAUUUGGGACAUUUACUUCUGUGAGAGGGCACUGAUGUUUUUACUGCUGAAGGCAGCUGCUUAUAAUGUCACCAAGCAGGAGCCUGAACCAUCUUGUGUCUGCUGUGCACUGGAGGCAGCAGGUUGCGGGAAUCCAUCCAGAAUGCAAGAUAUUCCAGCAAGUAGUGAAAGAGGAGGCACUCUGCCUAGAAAAGAAUGAAUCUGUUUCAUCUGAUUUUAAAGGUAACGGUCUUGAUUGACAAGUUCUGAUAUUAGUAUCUCUUGAAUCACUUCAGGUUUGUGAUGUGAAGAUACCAGUUACUGAAUCAAAAUUUGAUUCCACAACCCUAUUUUAUUUGGCUUGAAGUGUUUCUCCUUCUAUUGGAUGCAGCUUUACCUCAUCUGAUUUUAGACGUCUGUAAAUGCUCAAUGUCUAAGUCAGGAUAUGUCUUCUUAGAUUCCCUUAAAGUAAAUGUAGAAAGGUGGGUGUCCUUAGAAAAAUUUUCAUUGCCUUUGCCUUAGAUGCUUACUUUAGGAUGA
This 855-nucleotide long non-coding RNA is filed under the name Cairina moschata (Muscovy duck). Its description in RNAcentral is "domestica (muscovy Duck (domestic type)) lncRNA (ENSCMMG00000002962.1)". The record is from RNAcentral. Lineage: Eukaryota; Metazoa; Chordata; Aves; Anseriformes; Anatidae.